GAGAAUCAGAUCCCUCGAAUGUCCGCUUGACAAAGAUCCUCAAAUAGAGUCGAAGCAAACCAUCGGUGACCGGCCUACAUUAAGCAACACCAACUGAGCGAAAAAACUCCAAUGAACUCCCAAUUGUUCUUCUCCGUGUAAUCGAACAACCAAAUCGUCAUCAAACGCACAAACAAAUAAACUCACAGAAUUUCUCCUUUUAGAUCAUUCUAUUGAACAGUGAUCUCCAAAAUCAAGCCUCCUGCAACUAAUAAAAAAUAGAACCCCCAA
This is a long non-coding RNA of Telopea speciosissima, 270 nucleotides long. RefSeq lists it as uncharacterized. The transcript is spliced from 2 exons. Lineage: Eukaryota; Viridiplantae; Streptophyta; Magnoliopsida; Proteales; Proteaceae. The record is from RefSeq and is a predicted model, not a curated record.